UACGAACUGUGCGAACGUUAUUCGGAAUCACUGGGCUUACAGGGUGCGUAGGCGGCUAUUCAGGUCAGGUGUGAAAGCCCCCGGCUCAACCGGGGAACUGCGCUUGAAACCGAGUGGCUCGAGUCAGCUAGAGGUACACGGAACUUCCAGUGGAGCGGUGAAAUGUGUUGAUAUUGGAAGGAACACCGGAGGCGAAAGCGGUGUACUGGGGCUGGUCUGACGCUGAGGCACGAAAGCCAGGGGAGCGAACAGG
Molecule: ribosomal RNA, 253 nt
Filed under: uncultured bacterium
Lineage: Bacteria
Description: partial 16S ribosomal RNA
Rfam family: Bacterial small subunit ribosomal RNA
Source: RNAcentral